RNAcentral lists this ribosomal RNA (279 nucleotides) under Plectus murrayi. RNAcentral describes it as "partial 28S ribosomal RNA". It matches the Rfam family "Eukaryotic large subunit ribosomal RNA", at positions 688 to 944 of the family's 3401-position model. Lineage: Eukaryota; Metazoa; Nematoda; Chromadorea; Plectida; Plectidae. The record is from RNAcentral.
GAGUCAUGGGUGUCAACCUAAAGGCGGAAUGAAAGUGAAGAUCGGCUCGACCGGUUGAUAUGGGAUCCGUUCGGUCACGGCCGAGCGGCGCACCAUAGCCCCGUCUCGACUGCUUGCAGUGGGGCGGAGGCAGAGCGUACACGUUGGGACCCGAAAGAUGGUGAACUAUGCCUGAGCAGGACGAAGCCAGAGGAAACUCUGGUGGAGGUCCGAAGCGGUUCUGACGUGCAAAUCGAUCGUCAGACUUGGGUAUAGGGGCGAAAGACUAAUCGAACCAUC